AUUGAACGCUGGCGGCAGGCUUAACACAUGCUAGUCGAACGAUGACUCUCUAGCUUGCUAGAGAAGAUUAGUGGCGGACGGGUGAGUAACAUUUAGGAAUCUGCCUAGUAGUGGGGGAUAGCUCGGGGAAACUCGAAUUAAUACCGCAUACGACCUACGGGUGAGAGGGGGCGCAAGCUCUUGCUAUUAGAUGAGCCUAAAUCAGAUUAGCUAGUUGGUGGGGUAAAGGCCCACCAAGGCGACGAUCUGUAACUGGUCUGAGAGGAUGAUCAGUCACACCGGAACUGAGACACGGUCCGGACUCCUACGGGAGGCAGCAGUGGGGAAUAUUGGACAAUGGGGGCAACCCUGAUCCAGCCAUGCCGCGUGUGUGAAGAAGGCCUUUUGGUUGUAAAGCACUUUAAGCAGGGAGGAGAGGCUAAUGGUUAAUACCCAUUAGAUUAGACGUUACCUGCAGAAUAAGCACCGGCUAACUCUGUGCCGGCAGCCGCGGUAAUACAGAGGGUGCGAGCGUUAAUCGGAAUUACUGGGCGUAAAGCGAGUGUAGGUGGCUCAUUAAGUCACAUGUGAAAUCCCCGGGCUUAACCUGGGAACUGCAUGUGAUACUGGUGGUGCUAGAAUAUGUGAGAGGGAAGUAGAAUUCCAGGUGUAGCGGUGAAAUGCGUAGAGAUCUGGAGGAAUACCGAUGGCGAAGGCAGCUUCCUGGCAUAAUAUUGACACUGAGAUUCGAAAGCGUGGGUAGCAAACAGGAUUAGAUACCCUGGUAGUCCACGCCGUAAACGAUGUCUACUAGCCGUUGGGGUCCUUGAGACUUUAGUGGCGCAGUUAACGCGAUAAGUAGACCGCCUGGGGAGUACGGCCGCAAGGUUAAAACUCAAAUGAAUUGACGGGGGCCCGCACAAGCGGUGGAGCAUGUGGUUUAAUUCGAUGCAACGCGAAGAACCUUACCUGGUCUUGACAUAGUGAGAAUCCUGCAGAGAUGCGGGAGUGCCUUCGGGAAUUCACAUACAGGUGCUGCAUGGCUGUCGUCAGCUCGUGUCGUGAGAUGUUGGGUUAAGUCCCGCAACGAGCGCAACCCUUUUCCUUAUUUGCCAGCGGGUUAAGCCGGGAACUUUAAGGAUACUGCCAGUGACAAACUGGAGGAAGGCGGGGACGACGUCAAGUCAUCAUGGCCCUUACGACCAGGGCUACACACGUGCUACAAUGGUAGGUACAGAGGGUUGCUACACAGCGAUGUGAUGCUAAUCUCAAAAAGCCUAUCGUAGUCCGGAUUGGAGUCUGCAACUCGACUCCAUGAAGUCGGAAUCGCUAGUAAUCGCAGAUCAGAAUGCUGCGGUGAAUACGUUCCCGGGCCU
This 1355-nucleotide ribosomal RNA is filed under the name uncultured bacterium. RNAcentral describes it as "bacterial SSU rRNA". It matches the Rfam family "Bacterial small subunit ribosomal RNA", at positions 28 to 1381 of the family's 1533-position model. The record is from RNAcentral.